Molecule: ribosomal RNA, 447 nt
Filed under: uncultured bacterium
Lineage: Bacteria
Description: partial 16S ribosomal RNA
Rfam family: Bacterial small subunit ribosomal RNA
Source: RNAcentral
UCCAGACUCCUACGGGAGGCAGCAGUGGGGAAUAUUGGGCAAUGGGCGCAAGCCUGACCCAGCAACGCCGCGUGAAGGAAGAAGGCUUUCGGGUUGUAAACUUCUUUUCUGAGGGACGAAGCAAGUGACGGUACCUUAGGAAUAAGCCACGGCUAACUACGUGCCAGCAGCCGCGGUAAUACGUAGGUGGCAAGCGUUAUCCGGAUUUAUUGGGUUUAAAGGGUGCGUAGGCGGGCUGUUAAGUCAGCGGUCAAAUGUCGGGGCUCACCCCGGGCCUGCCGUUGAAACUGGCGGCCUCGAGUGGGCGAGAAGUAUGCGGAAUGCGUGGUGUAGCGGUGAAAUGCAUAGAUAUCACGCAGAACUCCGAUUGCGGAGGCAGCAUACCGGCGCCCGACUGACGCUGAGGCACGAAAGCGUGGGUAUCGAACAGGAUUAGAUACCCUCGUA